This 490-nucleotide ribosomal RNA is filed under the name uncultured organism. RNAcentral's name for it is "bacterial SSU rRNA". It matches the Rfam family "Bacterial small subunit ribosomal RNA", at positions 28 to 507 of the family's 1533-position model. The record is from RNAcentral.
GAUAAACGCUAGCGGCAGGCCUAACACAUGCAAGUCGAGGGGCAUCGGAUAGAGUACUUCGGUACUCUUGCCGGCGACCGGCGGACGGGUGCGUAACGCGUAUGCAACCUACCUUCAACAGGGGGAUAAUCCGAAGAAAUUUGGUCUAAUACCCCAUAAUAUUCCGACAGGCAUCUGUCGGAGUUGAAAGCUUCGGUGGUUGGAGAUGGGCAUGCGUUGUAUUAGCUAGAUGGUGAGGUAACGGCUCACCAUGGCGAUGAUACAUAGGGGGACUGAGAGGUUUUCCCCCCACACUGGUACUGAGACACGGACCAGACUCCUACGGGAGGCAGCAGUGAGGAAUAUUGGUCAAUGGACGGAAGUCUGAACCAGCCAUGCCGCGUGCAGGAUGAAUGUGCUAUGCAUUGUAAACUGCUUUUGUACGAGGGUAAACACAGAUACGCGUAUCUGCUUGAAAGUAUCGUACGAAUAAGGAUCGGCUAACUCCGUG